UUCGUGUGAACAGUGGUUGAUCACGAGUUAGUCGGUCCUAAGUUCAAGGCGAAAGCCGAAAAUUUUCAAGUUUAACAAAAUGUGACUAUAUUAUACUAAUGUAUAUUUAUAUUUGUGCAAAUACUAUACACUUGAAUAAUUUUGAACGAAAGGGAAUACGGUUCCAAUUCCGUAACCUGUUGAGUAUCCGUUUGUUAUUAAAUAUGGGCCUCGUGCUCAUCCUGGCAACAGGAACGACCAUAAAGAAGCCGUCGAGAGAUAUCGGAAGAGUUUUCUUUUCUGUUUUAUAGCCGUACUACCAUGGAAGUCUUUCGCAGAGAGAUAUGGUAGAUGGGCUAGAAGAGCAUGACAUAUACUGUUGUGUCGAUAUUUUCUCUUCGGACCUUGAAAAUUUAUGGUGGGGAUACGCAAACUUCUCAACAGGCCGUACCAAUAUCCGCAGCUGGUCUCCAAGGUGAAGAGUCUCUAGUCGAUAGAAUA
Molecule: ribosomal RNA, 480 nt
Filed under: Mulgravea indersinghi
Lineage: Eukaryota; Metazoa; Arthropoda; Insecta; Diptera; Drosophilidae
Description: partial 28S ribosomal RNA
Rfam family: Eukaryotic large subunit ribosomal RNA
Source: RNAcentral